Stylophora pistillata is the source of this 4750-nucleotide RNA transcript. RefSeq lists it as uncharacterized. The record is from RefSeq and is a predicted model, not a curated record. NCBI's taxonomy places the organism in Eukaryota, Metazoa, Cnidaria, Anthozoa, Scleractinia, Pocilloporidae.
AGAAACUUCUUGAUGACUGCUUUCACUUUCAAAAAUUUCUCUUUUGUGGUUAAUCUAACCGACAGAUUUCGACAAAGUAGUUAAGAACAUCAGAAAUCAAAAAUAUGUCGAGGGAUUACUACCAUGAUAUUUAAACCAUGGCAAGUACAGCUGGGCCAAGCCACUUUUGUCUGACUAAUGAUCAGAAACGAUGGCUUGUGGCAGGAAUUGCACUCAACAAGAUCCUUGUACCACAGAUGCGUUCAUUUGUGGAGCAGGAGGUUGGAAAGGAGUACAACAAAGUUAAGAGCAGUCACACCAUUCAUACCCAGACCAUACCUCAUUAUCUCAAAGCAUGGCCAACUACUUCUAAAGAUUUACUGAAGUAUGAAAACAUCAAUGGCAAUGAUAGCUGUAAGGUGAAGUCGAAAAAAGGGAAAUGUGUGUAUGACUACAACUCCUUCAAAUACCAAGUUACAUCUCAUGUUGACUUUGCAAGGCUGUUUGUGCAAAACUUCAUGGCUAAGUUCACUGCAUUUGAUGACCACUGUGAUGCCUCGGCUGUAUUACAGUUGCUUCUUCGCAUUCCAGCAUUCUCUCCAGCUGUGCAAACUGCAGCAGAUAAAGUCAGAAUGACAAGGAAUGAUUGGGCCCACUGUGGUUUUAGCAAGUGGGAUCAGCCCAAUUUUUCAAGGAGCUUUUCUGACAUGGAACAACUGGUAAAGAGCUUGGCACUAUCAGGUGCUGGGAAAAUACUUGGAGAACUUAAAGACUGGGAAACCAAAGGAACAGCUCUUUGCCAGAAUUCUCCUGUAGAUCCAUUACUGUUACAACUGGUUCAGCAGGAAGUUAACUUUCUUCAAGUUUGUGUGGACAACAUGUGUGUGGAAAAUGAAGAAGACAAGACUAAAGUCACUAAUGAGCUAAGAACUAUUGACGCAAGUCUAGAGGAGAUGAAAAAAAGAGUGGAGAACCUUGAGUGUGACGUUGAAGUUGUUAAGGGCAGAUUGGAUGAUUUCGAAGGACCCAUGCGAAAGAAAAUUAAGAGGCUUGAGAGCAAUCAGCAGAGCACAGAUAGUCGCGUUGAGCUUGUUGAAGAUUGCAUGACUGUUGUUGACGAAAAAGUGAAUGUCGUGGGAGGCAAAGUGAAUGUUGUUGAGGACAAAGUGAAUGUUGUGGAAAACAGUGUGCUUCACCUACAAGAACAAGUACAAGACCUGGCAAAGACCAAGGGCUCAGACGGAGCGAUUACGUGCGCUGAAAGUCCCAAACCAGCUGAUUACCCAGACAACUUUGUACAGCUAAUCAGAAGAGAUUACAAAAACGCCGUACUGUGUCCGUUCCCCUGGUGCGAGGAAGAGUUGGAAAUGGAAUUUUCGAAGAUGUUUACUAAACUGAAGAUAGUUGGUAGGAAAAAAGAAAGAGCGAGGUUAACAAAGGGUAUUGUUGAAAUGAAGGAUGUCUUCAGUCCACACAUACAAUGUGAAAAGCCAAGAGUGGUAUUGAUCGAGGGGCCACCUGGAAUGGGCAAAACCACUUACUCUCAGAAACUUGCGUAUGAUUGGUCAGUGAAGGACAUUUCACUUGAACCUUCUUUUCCUAAAGUGGACAUGCUUCUCCGACUGAAUUGUCGUGACAUGAAAACUACUAACAUCGAGGAUGCUAUUGAUGAUCAGUUACUACCUCGUGAUGCAAACGAGAAGGAGAAAGAGGACGUCUUUCAUUUCAUUCGCCGCAAUCAAUCCAGAAUCUUGCUAGUUCUUGACGGACUGGAUGAACUAUCUCAAGAUCUUUUUGAAGGAUUGUUGCCCUUGAUUAAAGGAAGAGUCUUUGCUAAUACUUACCUCCUGUUAACAGCCAGACACGAAGCUGGAAUGAAAGUACGGAAGUACUGUGACACACUCCUUGAGAUUGUUGGUUACACCAGCGCGGAUGCCGAGAGUUACAUCAAGAAGUAUUUUAGCAAUCACGACGAUCCAAGCCUUGCUAAGAAACUGAUUAGCAGUCUAGACAGAAACCCAAAGCUGAGCGAAUUAUCUGUCAAUCCUCUUAAUACAGCGCUGUUGUGUCUCGUUUGUGAAGAUUCGCAAGGAAAAUUCCCUCAUAACAGAACCCUGCUGUAUCGUGAACUUGUCUCGUGUGUUCUUAGGAGGUAUUUUUCAAGUAAGAAAAUCGUUUUGGGCAACAAAUGUCCAAUCGAACAUUGUUCAGAUCAGCUGAAUCAGUUGGGCAGGUUCGCUCUUGAUGCUUUGCUAAAAGAUCAGUUAGCCUUCUCUCCAUGGGAGUUGAAAAGUCAGUCAACAGAAUUCCUUGGAUUCGGUUUUCUUUCUCGUGAAGCCAGUGCAAGUAAAUUGAAACCCAAGGCAACAUACGCGUUUACCCACAAGACCUUUCAGGAAUAUUUUGCUGCAUUCCACCUGGCUCAUGAUCUGGCGACUGGUGAAAGUGACAAGGUCGCGCUGCUUGCUCAACUCAAUCCUAUUGAUAACUACUGGCAGGUGUGGGAGUUUCUCAUCUCAAUGGCUGCAACUGAAAGUUAUGACGUUAGUGUUUUGGUAGUGUCGAGUCUCUGUGCUUGCUAUCAGCAAAAAAAACCCGAGAGUCUGUACCUCGAUAUGUAUGUGUCGCAGGACGAAUAUAGCGAUGACAAUCCCUGGGACAGCGAUGAAGAGGACUAUUUCGGAAUGGGAACCAUCUAUGCGUGGAACGACCGUGAAGAAGACUACAGCUCCGAAAGUCAGCAAGAUGACGACGAAUUGGAUAGCGACAAUGCUGAUAGCGGUGAUGUUGAUAGAAAUGAUGGAAGCGAUCACCGUUUUGACAAUGUUAUUGUAGACGUUUGCAGAGAUGCUUCACAUGAUUGGGUUGAAGGUAUACAAGCAAGAUGGCUGUUCAGAAAUAAAUCUGAGGUACGGUUUUGUGAAGCUAUAAUUCAUACCAUUGCACAGUGUGAAAAGUCUGAAAGUCAAUUGAGUCGUAACCAGAUUAAAAUGGCAGAUACGCUAGCACGCUGCUUUCCUUUGGAGAAAAUGAUCGUUGACACUGAAUGUUCGUUCACGCUCACCCCACAAUAUAUUCUCAUUUUGUUUGAAUAUCUGAAAUGCAACAGCCAGCUGAAAGACCUCUCUUGGUGCGUCGGAUCUUGGGACGAGUUAAGUUCGGCAGCAAUUGGAUGUGUGCUCCAAUCAUGUCAUGAGCUCAAGCGCUUGUAUUUAAUCAACGAUUUAAGUAACCCUUUUCUUACAUCUGCUCUUCAGACAAAUCGCACAGUGACUCAUCUAAAGCUGAGCAGUUCUGGAACCUUCCUAACAGGUGCCAAAGCACUUGGUGGUCUUCUUCAAUCAAAUCACACUUUGACCCAUUUGUGUUUGGCUGGCAAUCAUCUAACACAUAUUGAAGCAGAGGCGUUAGCACAAGGUCUCCUAUCCAACAGUGUGCUAGUGUAUUUAGACUUAAGCGUAAACUGUAUUGGUGAUCAAGGAACCGUUGCACUUUCUAAAGCAUUGGAGUCAAAUCGAAUGCUAAAGUACCUUGACGUAAGUUUUCAAAAUCAAGGUUUAUCAAGGUCUAAUCACAUGGAAUCGGAUUUUCUAGGUGAUGAAGGUACAAAGGCUUUGGCGCACGCUCUUCGAUCUAACAACUCGUUGACUUACUUAGAUCUUCAAGCGAAUCUGUUUACCGACUCAGCAGCGGCAGAACUGGGAGAAUCUCUUCAGUUUAACUCCUCUCUGACACAUUUGUACCUAAGGAAUAACUGUAUCCCGAGCGAAGUUCUGUUCGGCAAUGCAGCAGCAACAGCUUUCUCAAAGGCCCUUCAGUCUCCUCUCACACAGUUGACUCGUUUAGAUUUACAUAGUACCUCUAUCAGUUCAUCGUGUGCAGUCACCCUGGCAGAGGCUCUCCAAAAUAAUCGCACUCUUGAGCGUUUGGAUUUGAGUGACAACAAGAUUGAAUGUUCUGGUGCUAUAGCCUUAGCACAGACAUUGAAGUCGCAUCAAGCUUUGCAAUAUCUACAGUUGAGAAACAACAAAGUUGGUGAUUCAGGGGCAAAAGAGUUUGUUGAGGCCCUACAGUACAACGAGACUUUGCUCCUGUUAGACUUGAUCGGAAAUCCGAUAACUAAGUCAGGAGCAGAAUUCAUCCUUGGAGCGCCUCAGGGGGCGAGUUGUUGUUUAAUGAGAUGGUGACAAAAACAGAUUAAGGCGUUGGCAUGGAUAGGAAAACAAAAUACUCCCGGGAUAGUAUUCAAUUAAUAAUCGGUUCCGAUCCGGCAGGAAGGGCAGACUUUUCUAAUCCCGUUUGAAUUCUGAGGUUUCACCUCAUCCCAUAAAUUUCCAAUAGAUACCAGGCAGACGAGAAGAAGCACCACCAAAAUCUUCGACGUCUCUCCUGUGUGGAAGGUAAAAUCAGAAUGAGUGAAGUGGGAUAAUCCACAUCAAUUACCAUAAAGCCUCGACGAGAAAUCCGGUCAUCAAAUAGACUGUAAAGUGUUAUUUUAUAACUCUAUGCUAAAUUUUAGGAAGUCAUUAACAGAACUGCUUGGUCGCGAGACAAUCUUCAUGUUGAUCAACAAGAACACUGUAUCACUGAAGAGUAGGAAGGAAAAUUCUCAAAAAUCACUUUUUACCUGCUUAAACAACGUAUAAAAUGGCUCUGGGUUGUUGCAUGUAAUAAACCAAGCGUAGGCGUAAUUCCAACUCGUUUAUUGUGUGUCUAAUGUGUAGUCGCUUCUUUAUAUAUAGGUAAUAUGAGAAUCACUAAUUUAAUCAAU